UACGGGGGGGGCAAGCGUUGUUCGGAAUUACUGGGCGUAAAGGGCUCGUAGGCGGCCAACUAAGUCGGAUGUGAAAUCCCCAGGCUCAACUUGGGAACUGCAUCCGAUACUGGAUGGCUUGAAUCCGGGAGAGGUGAGUGGAAUUCCUAGUGUAGAGGUGAAAUUCGUAGAUAUUAGGAAGAACACCAGUGGCGAAGGCGGCUCACUGGCCCGGUACUGACGCUGAGGCGCGAAAGCGUGGGGAGCAAACAGG
This 253-nucleotide ribosomal RNA is filed under the name uncultured bacterium. RNAcentral describes it as "partial 16S ribosomal RNA". It matches the Rfam family "Bacterial small subunit ribosomal RNA", at positions 524 to 776 of the family's 1533-position model. The record is from RNAcentral.